Non-coding RNA from Truncatella angustata, 92 nucleotides. The record is from the annotation of a RefSeq genome assembly. NCBI's taxonomy places the organism in Eukaryota, Fungi, Ascomycota, Sordariomycetes, Amphisphaeriales, Sporocadaceae.
GUCGCUUUAGCUCACUUGGGAGAGCGCCAGACUGAAGCCUGAACUUCAGUUCCGAAAUCUGGAGGCACUGUGUUCGAUCCACAGAAGCGACA